RNAcentral lists this ribosomal RNA (445 nucleotides) under uncultured bacterium. RNAcentral describes it as "partial 16S ribosomal RNA". It matches the Rfam family "Bacterial small subunit ribosomal RNA", at positions 330 to 793 of the family's 1533-position model. The record is from RNAcentral.
GCCAGACUCCUACGGGAGGCAGCAGUGGGGAAUAUUGCACAAUGGGGGGAACCCUGAUGCAGCGACGCCGCGUGGGUGAAGAAGUCAUUCAUGACGUAAAGCCCUAUCAGCAGGGAAGAAAAUGACGGUACCUGACUAAGAAGCCCCGGCUAACUACGUGCCAGCAGCCGCGGUAAUACGUAGGGGGCAAGCGUUAUCCGGAUUUACUGGGUGUAAAGGGAGCGUAGACGGCGAUGCAAGUCUGAAGUGAAAGGCGGGGGCCCAACCCCCGGACUGCUUUGGAACUGCGCGGCUGGAGUGCAGGAGGGGCAGGCGGAAUCCCUGGUGUAGCGGUGAAAUGCGUAGAUAUCAGGAGGAACACCGGUGGCGAAGGCGGCCUGCUGGACUGCGACUGACGUUGAGGCCCGAAAGCGUGGGGAGCAAACAGGAUUAGAUACCCCGGUAG